This 472-nucleotide ribosomal RNA is filed under the name uncultured Sphingobacteriales bacterium. RNAcentral's name for it is "bacterial SSU rRNA". It matches the Rfam family "Bacterial small subunit ribosomal RNA", at positions 910 to 1382 of the family's 1533-position model. The record is from RNAcentral. Lineage: Bacteria; Pseudomonadati; Bacteroidota; Sphingobacteriia; Sphingobacteriales.
UUGACGGGGGCCCGCACAAGCGGAGGAGCAUGUGGUUUAAUUCGAUGAUACGCGAGGAACCUUACCUGGGCUCGAACGUAAGAUGACUGUAGGUGAAAGCUUACAUCUCUUCGGAGCAUUUUACGAGGUGCUGCAUGGUUGUCGUCAGCUCGUGCCGUGAGGUGUCGGGUUAAGUCCCAUAACGAGCGCAACCCCUACCUUUAGUUGCCAUCAGGUAAUGCUGGGGACUCUAAAGGAACUGCCUACGCAAGUAGUGAGGAAGGCGGGGAUGACGUCAAAUCAGCAUGGCCCUUACGUCCAGGGCUACACACGUGCUACAAUGGCCGAUACAGAGGGCAGCUACCUGGUGACAGGAUGCAAAUCUCCAAAGUCGGUCUCAGUUCGGAUCGGAGUCUGCAACCCGACUCCGUGAAGUUGGAUUCGCUAGUAAUCGCGCAUCAGCCAUGGCGCGGUGAAUACGUUCCCGGGCCUU